Molecule: ribosomal RNA, 2133 nt
Filed under: Triticum aestivum (bread wheat)
Lineage: Eukaryota; Viridiplantae; Streptophyta; Magnoliopsida; Poales; Poaceae
Description: partial small subunit ribosomal RNA
Source: RNAcentral
CUCACACGGGCAGCCGCCUGCCUAGCUAGCCGCUGGUAGAGGAGGAGAAGCCGUAGCAGCGUGCGCAGAGAGAGAAUUCAGAGAGAGAGAGAGAGAGAGAGAGGGAGAGAGUUCAGAGAGGAGAGAGAGGAGUUCUCCAGGGCUUGCAAGCUCUGCGCGCGCGUGCUAGGGGAAGAUCAAUUGUUCCGGCGAUCGUUACCAGCCCAGGAGAAUAGCGCGUCCGGCGGCGAGGCGAUGCGACUGACCGACUGAUGCGCUAGAAUUAUGGGCAUCCAAGGGAACAAGGCGACGCACGACUUCCUCUCGCUCUACGCCCCCGCCGCCGCCGCGGCCGCCGCCAAGGACUCCUCUCUCCAGCUCCACGAUUCCAAGCCUCCCGCCGCCUCCCAAGGUUUCUUUUUGAAGACGCACGACUUCUUGCAGCCGCUGGAGAAGCCGGCGGCGUCGGCACCGUCCGGCGCGGACAGGCAGCAGCAGCAGCCGCAGACGACGAAGCACGCGCUGCCGGGCGGCAUCGGCACCUUCAGCGUCACCCAGCAGGUGCCCGGAGCCGCCGGACCACAGCCGGCCGCCGCCGCCGCGGUGGUGGUGAAGCCCGAGCCGCCGCCGUUCGUGCUCUGGGGCCAGCCCACGGCAUCACAGCCACCGAGAGCGCAAGGGCACCACCACCAGUGGACGCUCCCCUUCGCCGGCGCCGGGCAGGCGGCCACCGCGUCCAGAAAGCACCCGUCGGAGCGGAAGCGGCGCGGCGGCGGCGGGUUCAUGGACUCUGGCUCCAGAUCCAGCGGCGGCGCCGGCUUCGACGACGACGACGGCCUCGCCGCGCGCCGCGAGGUCUCCUCCUCGCUGCAAGAGUUAGCUGUCAGGGUGGAUGCGAAGGGCGGGAGCUGCAGCGGCAGCGGCACGGAUCAGCUGCCAAACACACCAAAGUCAAAGCAUUCUGCAACUGAGCAGCGCCGCCGUAGCAAGAUCAAUGACAGGUUUCAGAUACUUAGGGAUCUUUUACCACACACUGAUCAAAAGAGAGACAAGGCAACAUUUCUCUUAGAGGUUAUUGAAUAUAUACGAUUUUUGCAAGAGAAAGCACAGAAGUACGAGGCUUCAUUUCCAGAAUGGAACCAAGAAAAUGCAAAGUUGCUCCCAUGGUCAAACAUGUAUUUUCGAUCAUCUUGGAAAAAUGCACAGAGUAAAGGGCAAAUCGCAGAAGAUGCCUCGCCUGACCCUUCACAAUUCAUCAGAAAUGGGGCCUCCCCUGGAUUCAAUAUCACAGGCAAGCUUGAUGAUAACCACACCGCGGCUAUCUCAGGGGCACCGGAUCAGGCAGAAACCGACCACAUGGCUAGUGUGUCCUGUAGAUCGGCGGACACUCCAACAAAUAUUAUGAAUAAUGUUUCGCCCCAGUCCCAACCACAAUGGGCAGAUCCAUCUGGUGUGGAUGAUUGCGCUGUGAACAGUGACGUGUUAAAUAAUCAACAAUUGAUGAUUGAUGAAGGAACAAUCAGCGUGUCAAGCCAAUAUUCCCAAGAGCUACUUAACACAUUGACGCAUGCUCUUCAAAGCUCGGGUAUAGAUUUGUCCCAAGCCAACAUCUCUGUCCAGAUCAACCUGGGCAAGCGAGCUGUCAAAAGACCUAUUGCUGGACAAUCCUCCAAUUUUAAGGAGCACACCGAUCUAGGCCCGACGAACAACAUGAUGGGCCAUCAGCAGACGAUGCUGGGCAACGCCGCCGAAGAGCUUCCCCAUGCGACGAAGCGGUACAAGCCGGGCAACACCUGACGGCGGCGACCCUCGCCGCAUUCUCCACCCAAGACAGGAUUGAUCAUUCUUUCCUCUGCGGCAUUGCCAGCGGAGACCCUGAGAUUGCAUGUACAUUAUGUUGUUCUGUGACGGCACCGGGACGAGCGAGACUUUGGUGCAUUCUUUCAUUUAAUCUUCGCGCCGCCACCUUUUAUUUAUUGUUGAAGUAAAAGCAAAACAAAACAAAGAAGCUUCCAUUGCAGAUUGUGAAGCUGCUCUUGUAGUACUAGUAUAUACAGGCUUCCAUUCGUAUGCGAAGUUUCUCCCCCGUGUAACCUGUAAGAUAACUCGAUCGACUAUAUUUCCUGUUAGUUAAGUCGCACCCUGGAGUAUGUC